GGCAAAAGCUCAAAUUUGAAAUCCAGUACCUUCGGUGCUCGAGUUGUAAUUUGAAGAUGGCGACUUUGGGAGUGGCCUUUAUCUAUGUUCCUUGGAACAGGACGUCACAGAGGGUGAGAAUCCCGUCUGAUGAGGUGAUCCACUCCUUUGUAAAGUGCUAUCGAAGAGUCGAGUUGUUUGGGAAUGCAGCUCUAAGUGGGUGGUAAAUUCCAUCUAAAGCUAAAUAUUGGCGAGAGACCGAUAGCGAACAAGUACAGUGAUGGAAAGAUGAAAAGAACUUUGAAAAGAGAGUGAAAAAGUACGUGAAAUUGUUGAAAGGGAAGGGUAUUAGAUCAGACUUGGCGUUGUGUGAUUAUCUUUCCCUCGUGGGGAGUGCACUCGUGCUUCGCUGGGCCAGCAUCGAUUCGUGUGGCCGGAUAAUAGCAUUGGAACGUGGCUGGGCCUUGUGUGCAGUGUUUAUAGCCUUUGCCGAUACGGCCUGCGUGGAUCGAGGACUGCGUCGCUUUUUGCGACUAGGAUGCUGGCGUAAUGAUCUAAUAUCGCCCGUCUUGAAACACGGACCAAGGAGUCUAACGUCUAUGCGAGUGUUUGGGUGUGAAACCCGUACGCGUAAUGAAAGUGAACGUAGGUGAGAAUCUUCGGAUGUAUCAUCGACCGAUCCUGAUGUCUUCGGAUGGAUUUGAGUAAGAGCAUAGCUGUUGGGAC
This 705-nucleotide ribosomal RNA is filed under the name [Candida] sp. RNAcentral describes it as "eukaryotic LSU rRNA". It matches the Rfam family "Eukaryotic large subunit ribosomal RNA", at positions 100 to 815 of the family's 3401-position model. The record is from RNAcentral. Lineage: Eukaryota; Fungi; Ascomycota; Saccharomycetes; Saccharomycetales.